UGCCCACACCUGCCGCAGCUCAGCACUCCCGUCCAGAGGCUCGGCAGCCUGGAGGAAAAAAGUGAGAAAACAGCAAAGUGGAGCCGGACGGCGACGCUGCGGAGGCUCGGAGGCUCGGAGGCUGCAGGCGGCGGUCAUGUGGUGCCGCUUCGCUCUCUAACUCACCUGAAAGCUGCUCACCUGGCGGCCGACUCACCUGACACUCCCCGGAUUUAGCUGCUGAGACUCUGGACUGACUGAGAGCCGAUUUCUCAAUAUUUGUCUUGGAAGCAGGAAGUGACAGACAGGAGGAAUGGGGAGUAAGGAGCGUUACCACUGGCAGACCCAGAAUGUGAAGGUGAGCGGGGUCGACGACAUGGUGCUGCUGUCCAAGGUGAACGAGGACGCCAUCACCGAAAACCUGAAGAAGAGGUACAUGGACGACUACAUCUUCACCUACAUCGGUCCGGUUCUGAUCUCCGUCAACCCGUUCAAACAGCUUCCGUACUUCACUGAGCGAGAGGUGGAGCUGUACCAGGGAGCUGCUCAGUACGAGAACCCGCCCCACAUCUACGCGCUGGCUGACAACAUGUACAGGAACAUGAUGAUUGACAGCGAGAAUCAGUGUGUCAUCAUCAGUGGAGAGAGUGGAGCUGGGAAAACUGUGGCUGCCAAAUACAUCAUGAGCUACGUGUCCAAGGUGUCCGGAGGAGGAGACAAGGUCCAGCACGUUAAAGACAUCAUCCUGCAGUCCAACCCCCUGCUGGAGGCCUUCGGCAACGCCAAGACCGUCCGCAACAACAACUCCAGUCGCUUUGGGAAAUACUUUGAGAUCCAGUUCAGUCGAGGAGGAGAACCGGACGGAGGGAAGAUCUCCAACUUCCUGCUGGAGAAGAGCCGAGUGGUGUCGCAGAACCAGGGCGAGAGGAACUUCCACAUCUACUACCAGCUGCUGGAGGGAGCGAGCAAGGAGCAGAGGGAGAACCUGGGGGUCACGACCCCCGACUACUACUUCUACCUCAACCAAUCAGGAACCUACACCGUGGAUGAUGUCAACGACAAGAAGGAUUUCUCUGAUACCAUGGAGGCCAUGUCGGUGGUCGGUCUGUCGGUGGAGGAUCAGGACUCGGUGCUGCAGCUGGUGGCAGGAAUCCUGCAUCUGGGAAACAUCGGCUUCAGAGAGGAGAACAACUACGCUGUGGUGGAGAGCCAGGACUUCCUUGCGUUUCCGGCCUACCUGCUGGGGAUCGCUCAGGACGGCCUGUGCAGCAAACUGACCAGCCGGAUUAUGGACAGCAAGUGGGGCGGGAAGACCGAGUCCAUCUCCGUCACCCUGAACACGGAGCAGGCCUGCUUCUCCCGGGACGCCCUGUCCAAAGCCCUGUACGCCCGCCUCUUCGACUACCUGGUCGACUGUAUUAACAAAGCCAUGCAGAAGGAGCAGGAGGAGCUGAACAUUGGAGUGUUGGACAUCUACGGCUUCGAGAUCUUCCAGCAAAAUGGGUUUGAGCAGUUCUGCAUCAACUUUGUGAACGAGAAGCUGCAGCAGAUUUUCAUCGAGCUGACGCUGAAGGCCGAGCAGGAGGAGUACGUUCAGGAAGGAAUCAAGUGGACGCCAAUCGAUUACUUCAACAACAAGGUGGUGUGUGACCUCAUCGAGUCCAAACUGAAUCCUCCUGGGAUAAUGAGCAUCCUGGAUGACGUAUGUGCCACCAUGCACGCCAAAGGCGAGGGGGCGGACCAGACGCUGGUGCAGAAGCUGCAGGGUCAGAUCAGCUCGCACGAACACUUCAGCAGCUGGAACCGAGGCUUCAUCGUCCACCACUACGCUGGGAAGGUGUCGUAUGACGUCAGCGGUUUCUGUGAGAGGAACAGAGACGUUUUGUUCAACGACAUCAUCGAGCUGAUGCAGAGCAGCGAGUUCUCCUUCAUCAGAGCUCUGUUCCCUGAGAACCUGGAGGCGGAGAAGAGAGGGCGUCCGAGCACAGCCAGCAGCAAGAUAAAGAAACAAGCGAACACCCUGGUGCAGACGCUGAUGAAGUGCACCCCCCACUACAUCCGCUGCAUCAAGCCCAACGAGACCAAGCGCCCGCGGGACUGGGAGGAGAAGCGGGUCCGGCACCAGGUGGAGUACCUCGGCCUGCGAGAGAACAUCCGAGUCCGCCGGGCCGGCUACGCCUACCGCCGGGUCUUCAGCAAGUUCCUGCAAAGGUAUGCCAUCCUGACCAAGGAGACGUGGCCUCGGUGGCGGGGCGAGGAGCGUCAGGGAGUCCUGCACCUCCUGAACUCCGUCCACAUGGAUCAGGAUCAGUUCCAGCUGGGAAGGACCAAAGUGUUCGUCAAGGCGCCGGAGUCGCUCUUCCUGCUGGAGGAGAUGAGGGAGAGGAAGUAUAACGGCUACGCUCGAGUCAUCCAGAAAGCCUGGAGGAAACACAUCGCCGUCCGCAAGUACGUCAAGAUGAGGGAGGAAGCCUCGGACAUCCUGCUCAACAAGAAGGAGCGCAGGAGGAACAGCCUCAACAGGAACUUUGUGGGCGACUACAUCGGAACAGACAACCAUCCUGAGAUCCGGCAGUUCGUCGGCCGCCGGGAGAGGAUCGACUUCGCCGACGUCGUGGUGAAAUUUGACCGCAGGUUCAGGACGGUGAAGCGUGACCUCAUCCUGACCUCUAAGUUCUUGUACCUGAUUGGUCGAGAGAAGGUGAAGCAGGGUCCAGAGAAAGGUCAGAUUCAGGAGGUUCUGAAGAGGAAGAUCGAGCUCGACAAGAUCCAGUCUGUUUCUCUGAGCACUCUGCAGGACGACAUCUUCAUCAUCCACGAGGAAGAGUACGACAGCGUUCUGCAGAGCAUGUUCAAAACAGAGUUCCUCAGCCUGCUGGUCAAACGCUACCAGGAGAAAACUCAGAGGAAGCUGCCGCUGAAAUUCAACAACCUACUGGAGUUCAAGGUGAAGAAGGGCGGCUGGGGUCCCUUCAGCUCCGCCGGCUCCAGGCAGAUCCAGUUCCAGGCCGGUCAGGGAGACGAAGCCGUCCUGAAGCCCAGCAGCAAAGUCCUGCUGGUCAGCAUCGGACCGGGCCUGCCCAAAAACUCCCGACCAACCAGGAAGGACAAACGCAAGAGUCGCUACGUGGGCAAUCAGGCUCCGCCCACCAACCACUACUCUGCUGGUCCUCGGGCCGGAGGAGGAGGAGGGGAUCGGAGAGGCGGUGGGCGGUCCUCCAGGCUCUCCAUCCUCCAGCAGCAGUCCAGCAUGGAGCAGCCGACCCUGCCCCGGCUGCAGAGCCAGCAGCAGCGCAGGAGCCGCCCCGCCCAGCAGCAGGACAUGGGCUUCAUGGACGUCCCGGACCAGGGGGUGGCAGGUCUGCAUCGCCGGCGCUCUAAAGAGGUGAAGCCGCUGCCCGGCGGCGGCCUGCCCAAACCGGCUCCCAGACCGAAGCCCCGCGGGCCGCAGUGCAGGGCGCUGUACGCCUACGACGCCCAGGACACCGACGAGCUCAGCUUCAACGCCGAUGAUGUCAUCGACAUCCUCACUGAGGACAAGUCAGGCUGGUGGUUCGGGCGCCUGCGGGGCAGGGAGGGGAUGUUCCCUGGGAACUACGUGGAGAAGAUCUAGAGCGCCUGCCGGGGUCAGAGGUCGCCUGCAGCUGGAGGACCUGCAGCGCUGGAUCCACCGUGUCUCCACCUGCUGUCAUUACUGUAAUGCUGCGUUCCAGACAAUCAGAAAGUUUGGUUUCAUAUCAGGAAAAAAGCGACAGCUCCCAGCAGCUGGCAGGUGAACAGGU
This is an RNA transcript of Myripristis murdjan (pinecone soldierfish), 3761 nucleotides long. It is a transcript of the gene named myosin IEb, with no coding region annotated. The record is from RefSeq and is a predicted model, not a curated record. The transcript is spliced from 28 exons. Lineage: Eukaryota; Metazoa; Chordata; Actinopteri; Holocentriformes; Holocentridae.